UUGCGUCACAGCAUAUACCAAAAAAUACCACAUACUAAAACAACCUCUUACAACCACAUCAGUGCUAAUCUAUAAUAAUAUAGAAGAACUAAUGUUAGAACUAGUAACAAGAACAAAUCUCUGCGCAUAACUGUAAAUCAGUCACAGAAUAUCUACUGAAAAUUAACAGCUCAAUAUACACCUU
This 184-nucleotide ribosomal RNA is filed under the name Sceloporus grammicus (Graphic spiny lizard). Its description in RNAcentral is "partial 16S ribosomal RNA". The record is from RNAcentral. Lineage: Eukaryota; Metazoa; Chordata; Lepidosauria; Squamata; Phrynosomatidae.